AUGAACUGCAUUGAUAAGCUCACAGAUUUAGAGUUAUUUGUUUCUGCUCAUGCAAAGCAGAGUGAGUUGGUUAACAUAGAUUGGUUUGAAUUUGAGUUGACAUAUCUUGGUCAUCUCCUCAAGAAAUUUCACCGAGAUAGGACUCUUCGGAUAUCAAAGACUGCUGGGGGCACGUUGAUUACCUUCAGGUACAAUGAUUUGCAGCAUGCCACCAGCAACUUCUCAGAGAAGCCGGGGGGAGGUGCCUUCGGCUCAAUGUUCAAGGGGAAGCUCCCAGAUUCAACAUCCAUGGUGAAAUAA
This 300-nucleotide ribosomal RNA is filed under the name Triticum aestivum (bread wheat). RNAcentral's name for it is "partial small subunit ribosomal RNA". Lineage: Eukaryota; Viridiplantae; Streptophyta; Magnoliopsida; Poales; Poaceae. The record is from RNAcentral.